UUGAGGCCUUAAGAGUAGC
Molecule: unclassified non-coding RNA, 19 nt
Filed under: Chlamydomonas reinhardtii
Lineage: Eukaryota; Viridiplantae; Chlorophyta; Chlorophyceae; Chlamydomonadales; Chlamydomonadaceae
Description: small RNA Cre_3909
Source: RNAcentral